Molecule: unclassified non-coding RNA, 4610 nt
Filed under: Octopus sinensis (East Asian common octopus)
Lineage: Eukaryota; Metazoa; Mollusca; Cephalopoda; Octopoda; Octopodidae
Description: protocadherin alpha-6-like, transcript variant X4
Source: RNAcentral
AUAUAGCAUUCUUGAUAAGACAGCAGACCCCUCUCUCUUCCUUUCUAUACAGCUCCCUCUUGAUUUCUCACUUUCUCACUCAUUCAUUCACUCUCUUUCUCUCUCACUCUCUCAUAUUCACACAACAACACAGACCAAGAUACAUAAUACAGCUUGCAUUCAUCAGCAGCAGUGACUGUACAACUCUACAGCAGGAUACACAUCUCAGUCAACGCUGUUACACUGAGAAAGAUUUAACAGCAACGAUUUAACAUAAAUGCCUGCAAAAAAUAAUUUUUUAAAAAAUUUCUGACUAAAGUGAUAUUAAAAGAUAAUAUGAAGAUUAAUCUUUCCAUGCUGUUGUUGUUUAUAAAGCUAGCAGUGUCUGUUGAUCUUACUUACCAUGUGAAAGAGGGUCAAAGGCCUGGAACUUUUAUUGGUGAUAUCACUGCUGAUACUAGUUUGUUAGACAGUAUCUUAAUGUCUAAUCGCAAACCAAUCACAUUUAGUCAACUGUAUGAAAGAUUAAAUGGUAAUUCACAGUUAUUUAAUGUUACCAAGGGAGGAAAAUUAUACACCACACAUACAUUUGAUGCUGAGUCACUUUGCAAAUAUAACAGUGAAUGUUCAAGAAUAAUUGAAAUUGCUGUUCAACAAGAGGAAACUUUCCUGAAGAUAAUUGAACUGAAAAUUAUUAUAGUUGAUGAUAAUGACAACCCUCCUGAAUUUCCAGUGAAACUUAUCCAUCUCCAGUUCUAUGAAAGUGAUAAAAAAGGAACAACAAAAUCUAUCCCAAAUGCCAUGGACAAAGAUGUUAGUAUUGCAAAUUCUCAAAUUACAUACCACUUAAGCAAGGAUGAAGAUGAACCAUUUGGUCUAUCGAUUUUAAACAGUGUUCUUGGUACCUCGAAAUUAAAAUUAAGUUUAACUCAAGAACUCGAUCGAGAAGUGAAAAGCCAUUAUUCACUCCAGAUUGUUGCCAGUAAUGGGGGGUUCCCAAGAAAAGUUGGCAUUUUGAAAGUUGAAGUGUCUGUUAUAGAUGAAAAUGACCAUGCACCUGUCUUCACACAUAAUACAAAUAACAUUACUAUAAGCAGUGCACACCAGAGAAAUGAGCCAGUAAUCACAAUGUUUGCAGAUGAUUUAGAUGCUGGUGAAAAUGGGAAUGUUUCAUAUAAUUUCAAUCUCAAAACCUCAUCACUGACACAAUCUUAUUUUAAUAUAAAUAAAAAUACAGGAGAAAUAUUUUUAAACAGUAAUUUUCCAUUUGGUAAAAGACAAACCUAUAACCUUUUCAUUGAUGCCACAGAUCAUGGUAGUCCUCCAUUGAGUUCUACAGCAAUUGUUCUUAUUAAUGUUUUAAACCAACAGAACAAUGCUCCAAGGAUUGAUGUGAAAUUCGUUUCUAAAUCGGAUGGAAAUGUGGUUUCCAUAUCAGAAGGAGUGAAAGUUGGUAGUUUCAUUGCUUAUGUGAAGGUCAUUGAUAAUGACAGUGGCCACAAUGGAGAAGUUGAUUGUAUUCUAAAUCAUGACAAGUUUAUGCUACAAAGUCUGGGGAAAAAUAAAUAUAAAGUCGUUAUCAAAAGUCUUGUUAACAGGGAAUUAGAAAGUCACAUGGACUUAAGUAUUGUCUGUGAAGAUAAGGGAUUUCCAUCCUUAAAGACAGAGAGAAAAUUUUCUAUUGAUGUGAUGGAUGUCAAUGAUGUACAACCAUACUUUACAAAAAGCACAUUUAAAUUCUUAACUUAUGAAAAUGAAGAACCUAAUUUUCCUGUUGGGUUUAUCAAUGCUACAGAUCCUGAUUUAGGUCUUGGAGGACAACUAUCAUAUUCUUUGUUUGAUGAACAUGGAUAUGUUCUUCCAUUUAAGAUUUCCAAUUUUGGAUUUAUUACAACAGCUCAAUCUUUGGAUCAUGAAAAACAAGACAUGUACGAAUUUAAGGCUAUCGUAAAAGAUAAUGGUGAACCACGGUUAAGUAAUACAGCUAAUGUUAUUGUUGAAGUUAUGGAUAAAAAUGACAAUGCACCAUACUUUACAUUUCCAAGUAUCAAAUUAUUUAAUAUAGACGUCCACUACCAUCCACAGAGUAAGAGUGACAUCACAACAUUAAGAGCCUCCGACAGAGACAGCCAUGUAAAUUCCUUCCUCAGAUAUGAAAUACUUGGAGGCAAUGACAAACAGUUAUUUACAGUUAACCCUUACACAGGAGUUUUGUCUUUCUCUCGUACAGUUUACCAAAAUGAUGCUGGAUCAUAUAAUCUAAAAUUAGCUGUCAAAGACAAUGGUACACCAGUUUUAUCAACAACAACCACACUGUCUUUGACACUAACUGUUAGCAAUACAACUGCCAGAAUGUACACAGCUGAAGACACGGAAUCAGACAACAGAAUACAUAUUAACCUGAUGAUUAUUAUAGUAGUGGCUGCAGUAAUAGUGUCUGUUGCUAUUGUGGUCUCGGUGAUUGUAUGUAUUGUUCACAAAAGAAAUCAGAGGCAUACACAUUUUAAUUUAAAUAAAAAAUGCAUAAAACAAGGAAGACGUUCAAGAUAUUUUUGUGAGCAAGACUCUCCAAAAUAUGACAUUCCAAUUACAGUGGUAACGGAUUCUGUGAACAGUGCCCAUUCACGAUCAGCAUCACUGAGAAGAGACACUCAUACGGGAGAUAACUCAUCUACAAACUGGAACACUUCAACUACCGAAAUUCCACAUCCCAGCUAUUUACAAGAAAUACACCAGGCUGAUGGGAGAGGUUUUAGCUCAGAAUUACAACUCCAUAUGGUACCUAUUUACAGCUAGAUGACCUAUGGUGAUUAAAUUUUAAGGGGUCUUCUGCUAUGCAGGUGACAAGGUAUGGCCUAUUGACCCUUUGGCUGAUAAGUCUUCACUCUAGAAACAAUCUGACCUCAGAAUUAUUGAAGAAGUCACAGUUCCAGAAUACAGGUAGGAGAACCUAAGCUUGGCCAACAAUUUCUCUACCCAUGCCAAAUGGCUAUGACAUCAUCCCUUUCUUUCCAGAAAAGUAUGAAAAAAAAAAAAAGAAACAAAUAUGAGGAAAAUAAAAAAAAUUAAUAAUAUCCCUUGUGAAUGUUGUCAUCAAGCAGGUGUUUGGCAGGUUUUUGGUUAUGGUGUUAUUGAUCUAAAAUCUCAAAUGCAUUUUGCUGUAAUUAAUAAAUUACUCACCUGGAAUCAAUGGAGACACUUUCUCUUUAGAUAGAGUAAAAUGUCUACCUUACCUGAAAAAUACACAGGUAAUUAAACGUAACAUGUAAGUUGAGAAGAAAGGAAUACAUACAGGUGAAUGCAUCUGUGAUGCUAGCCAUAAUGGUAAUAGUGUACCUGGAACAUAGCAUCAAUAUACCUGUGACAAGCAGAAUAAUAUAUUUACAAUAACUGGUAGUAAAAACAAAAAAAGUGGUUCUUAAUACGUGUGUAUUAUUUGGGUGGCUAAAGAGAUAUUGUGGUUGUAAAUAUUAGUGACAAGGUUACUCAAGGCUUUUAAAUCUCGUUGCUAGGCAGAUAUUUUGUCUGUACACAAUAUCUAUUUUAUCAGAAUAAUAUGAAGCAUAUGCCUCUAGAUUUAUUUGUCACAAAAGUGUUCAAAGCUUGUUGUCAUGGACUGAUGAAAUAGUGUUAGUCAUUUGCUGAUUUAGUAUUAUUGUAAAGUUAAAUAGCUAGAUGAAAAUAGCUUCAAGAGCAAAGAGGCUGUAUAUCUCAGUAGGUUUUUAAUGUUUUUGAUAAAUCUCUGUGUUUCAAUAGGCAUUAGAUUUUUUUGAAACUUUUCCUUUGUUGAAGUGAUAAAGGAAAGAAAAUUUUAACAUCGUAUCAUUUAAUUUAUAUGAAAGCUGUUAAAGAUAGGUUCAUAUGUUUUGCAUAUGAAAAAAUCCCACUGAAAGAAAGAAUUCAUGAAUCUUUUGUUUAAAUUAAACCAAACCUAUGGCUCUUCAUGGGUAUUUGAAAUAAUAUUCAGAACCAGAGCAAAUAAUAAUGAAACCAAUAAUAUAUCUAUUAAACAACCAAACCUGUCCUACCCAACAAAUUGAUAAAAUUACAAAUAAACUUAUGAAUUAAAAACAAUCAACAAACAUUCAGUUCAUUUGACAAUCAACCCAACAAACAAUUUGUUUACAAUAUAUUUUAUAUGUUUUGCCACAAUUAUUAGCAUAAAGAAAAGAGGGCAAAUGUUCAGAGAGUAGUUAUGUCUGAUUAAAUUAUUUGUUUAAACAAUAUCAUCUACAUCAAAAUCUUUUUUCAUUAUGAUCCCCAAACCAUUGUUCUAAUAAUUCAUUGAUCGGUAUAAUUAAGAACAUUUACUUGUUUGCUACAAUGAAGUAAAGAGAGAUAAGUCCGCUGAUAAGUUUAAAUUUUACCUUGUAUUAUCAAACUCUGCCAGAACUAUUUGUUUAUUUGAAUUAGUCUAGCUGAAAAAGAAAAACAGAAUAGAAAAAAGAAAACACUGCAUUAUAUUAUUUACGUCGCAUGGAAGAAUGGUUGGAGAGAGACAAACCAUCCACUUAUAAAACAUCCAGCUCAAAUUACUUAUGCCAAUGUCUGAAUUUGCAAACCCGUCCAGUGCUAACGUGGAGAAUCAUAGUUGAACAUUUUUUUUAUUCAAUGUAAAGCAAAAUCAAAUU